Long non-coding RNA from Oncorhynchus tshawytscha (Chinook salmon), 377 nucleotides. Lineage: Eukaryota; Metazoa; Chordata; Actinopteri; Salmoniformes; Salmonidae. The record is from Ensembl.
CCAGAACGAACAGACAUUUUUUCCAAAUAAACGUGCAAAUAUUGGUCUCAAUGAAUGAUGUGCAGUGUCACAUGACCAGAGCUGUUUACUUCCUGGUUGCACCAUGAGAAGAGGAUGGCUGCAUCAAAGCUCCCAAACAAAAGUUUCACUUUGAGUCAUGUUCUGGAUAUGUUGGAUCUAGGUGACUGCCCAGACAAGGCAUGCAACAUUGCAGUUCUCUCUCAAAAUGAGAAAGAUGCUGUCCUGAGUGAUAGCGAUGGGUCAGGUAUAGACAGGCCAUUUGCCAGCCAGGCUGUUGAAUGCAUAUGCUGAACCUAUGCAAACAGAUCAUGACAGGAACAACAUUAUCAGUGAUGAUGACCUACCACUCACCCCCC